This 511-nucleotide ribosomal RNA is filed under the name Hepatozoon felis. RNAcentral describes it as "bacterial SSU rRNA". It matches the Rfam family "Eukaryotic small subunit ribosomal RNA", at positions 476 to 984 of the family's 1831-position model. Lineage: Eukaryota; Apicomplexa; Hepatozoidae. The record is from RNAcentral.
AAUAACAAUACAAGGCAGUUAAAAUGCUUUGUAAUUGGAAUGAUAGAAAUUUAAACACUUUUUAAAGUAUCAAUUGGAGGGCAAGUCUGGUGCCAGCAGCCGCGGUAAUUCCAGCUCCAAUAGCGUAUAUUAAAAUUGUUGCAGUUAAAAAGCUCGUAGUUGAAUUUCUGUUAAAAAUAACCGGUCUGCUUUUAAUAAAAGUGGUAUCUUGGUGUGUUUUUAGCAAUAAUGUCCUUUGAAAUGUUUUUUACUUUAUUGUAAUAAAUAAUAUUCAGGAUUUUUACUUUGAGAAAAUUAGAGUGUUUCUAGCAGGCUAACGCUUUGAAUACUGCAGCAUGGAAUAAUAAGAUAGGAUUUUAGUUCUACAUUAUUGGUUUUAAGAACUAAAUUAAUGAUUGAUAGGGACAGUUGGGGGCAUUUGUAUUUAACUGUCAGAGGUGAAAUUCUUAGAUUUGUUAAAGACAAACUACUGCGAAAGCAUUUGCCAAAGAUGUUUUCAAUAAUCAGGAAC